UAGCCGUACUGGAAGGUGCGGCUGGAUCACCUCCUUU
RNAcentral lists this ribosomal RNA (37 nucleotides) under Phaulopsis talbotii. Its description in RNAcentral is "partial 16S ribosomal RNA". Lineage: Eukaryota; Viridiplantae; Streptophyta; Magnoliopsida; Lamiales; Acanthaceae. The record is from RNAcentral.